Molecule: long non-coding RNA, 3882 nt
Organism: Columba livia (rock pigeon)
Lineage: Eukaryota; Metazoa; Chordata; Aves; Columbiformes; Columbidae
Exons: 2
Source: RefSeq, a predicted model, not a curated record
AAGGCAGGAAGAUUAGAAGAAAGGUCAUAGACUUCAUGUAUUUCAUGCCAAGUGUGGCUUGGGACCUAGCUGACACCAUCUGAAUGAGGCAACCAGGAAACAGGAGCCAGUGCUGGAGGGGAGGUUACUGGGUAAAAUACUGACUUGGAAGAUCAGGCCUGGAUGAGCCAAAUAUUAGGUACUGAGAAGCAGCUGGACGAGGAGUGAAGUCUUCAGGAAGAACAAGCACAUUCUGGAACACAAACCAAACAAAAUAACCUGGAAAACGGGAAAGAAGGAACUCAGGAAUUGAUCUAGACAUCCUGAGAAGGAAUAUGUAGAUUCUCUGACCAAAAGCAUGGAUACAGGAAAGAAAGCAGUAUAUGCUGGGAAAGGAGACAGAACUGCAAGACAGAGCAGAUGAGACUGGGUAUGGAGGGAUACAAGCAGGUUGUAGAACGAUCUGUGUCUGUUAAAACAUACUUGUCUCCAGAGUGUGGAAGGGAGCCAAGGAGUCAAGCCUUCCUCUGAAACCAGCCACUGUCCCUACGUGGCUCACCCACAGAACUGUUUCAGUCAGCAGGGGUUUUGGCCAUCAUUACACCAGUAAUGAGUCAAGAGAACAUACAAUCUGUUCCAUGGCUCAGCCAGAACCAUGAGGCAAACCCUGUCAGUCCCACCUCCUAGCCCAUGCAAUGGGAUGCAGGUGUGAAGAGGAGAAGACAUGCUGCGGACAUGCAUCCAUCAGCCCAAGGAACGUCUGAAACAUCCCACUGCUCAGACCCAGGCUCCAGAAACAUGCUGUGCUCUUGCACAUGAUUCAGACAUACCAAGUGCUUGCAGCAAGACAGCAGCUCAGAAGUGCUGCUCUGUCAGUGCCAGCAGAGCAACCAGCCCUGGAAACAGUGAGUGAAAUCUGCUCCGUGGGGAAGGGCAGAGCAGCACUGCUACCUUCAUUGGCUAUCAGCGGUCAAAAGGUGGUAGACAUGCCAUGGCCCAAGUGUCCCUGGCUCAUUACUGAUGAAGCAGCACCUUGGGUGCCUUAUAGAUCAAUUAGGAAUAUUAUACAAACUGCUUUACAGGUGUUGCUGAACAUGCUGCAGUGUUCCAAAAACACACAGGCUGGUUUCCACAGGAAAACGUUUUAACUGCGCAAGUAGUAAGCAUUUUGUAAAACUGCUAGUGGAUGCAGCCAGCAUUGCUGAUGUGAUCACAUAAAACAUUGAUGGUAACAGUUUUAUUUAAAAAAAAUGUAGUGCAAAUCAAUUAGAAAAUUAAAAACCUAUAGUUCAAAAUUACAAAGGGAUGCCUACUUUUAUAUGCAAAAAGUACCCAUAUAACCAAAAAAUGGAUGAGACUGAAUUUUUAAGAGGCUAUUACAAAACCAACAAGUAACAGCUACAGUAGAGGCUGGCCAUUUUAUGGUGUUUGAGGGAUUUACUUACAUCCUGUUUUAGACCAUUUCUGAUUUUGACUAUAUUUUUCAGGUUAUUAGCAGAUAUAUCCUCAAGGAAAAUCAUUGCUUUAUUGAAUGGACCUGAAAUCAAAACACAAAUCCAGGAGAGUGGAUACCUAUGCAGAAGGCAAACAAAUGGAGUGGUGGGAAGAGUUUUAUUUCAAUUUCCAAGCAACAACCAGGGCUCUUUUGAUAGAAACUUAAAUCAGUGGGAGCCUGUGCUCUUCUGCUGUGACUUUGGGGAUGUCUGGGCAUGGAUCAAACUUCUAUAGACACUGUUAUACAUGGGGUCUGAGCAGGGGGAGGAAUAAAAGGUGGUGGGUGGCUGGUGAGGGAAAGAAGGGGCAGCAGCCACAUCCACCAGCCUUUCUGAGCUUGCUGCCUCCCAGUGACCAGUCCCUUGGGUAAAACACCAGAGAGGACGCAGCAGCCCCAGUUCUGCACUCAACCACCUGGUCAGUCUAGGUGAUGGACCACAUGGGUACUGACACCCAUCUCUCUACAGGCUGGGCUGAAGUCCUAGAAGGCCAGGACAUGUGACAGCUAGAUUUUAAACAGCUUGGUUUACACUGUGCAUAUACAUAUGUGUUUUUUUUCAGGGUAAACACUUUAGCUAUAUAAUGAUUUGGCUGAUAGAAAAUGAGGAUCAGAUACUGAGCCAUUACCCACACGGCCAGUUUCCGAUCUUCUUUGCUCAGCACUUUGCACUUUAUUUGAUGAGCUACCCUAUUUAAAUGAAGUAGGGCUGUUGUUCAAGAAACAAGACUUGAUGCACUGUAUGAAUAAAGAUGGAAGAAUUUAGGAAGAAAUUAACAGCUAUCAACAGUAUAAGUUAUUUUGAACUCCUCAUUGCCUAAAUGAAAGCUAAAUAAUGCAGUGUUUGGGAGCACACAGCACACACAGCAAAACUCUAAUUCUUAAUUGCUGCAUUUUCUUCAAGGCUCAUAUGCAACGAUUGGAUAUACAUUAAACCAUUAAACUACUGCUUCAAAUAUAUUACAGAAAAGCAAAUCUCUCUUUUUUUUUUUUUUUUUAAGUUUUCCUCGUGGAUUCCCAGCCUUUGAAAUUCUGAAGCUGACAGAAAGAAAGGACAGAGAGAACAUGCAAUUUUUAAAAGGAUUUGGGGUUCAAUUAGCUGUAGAAGCUUCAAUGUGAGUCUAAUGCCAUUCCCACCUUGGACUCCCACUGCCUAAUUUCAUUGUCUGAUCAAAUGGGCAGAGGCUAUAUAAUUUUACGGUUUGUAGCCUAGUAAAAACAAAGAUCAAAUAACUCUUUCAAAGCUGUGAAUGCUCUCCAGUGAACUUCUUUUCUGGAGUCUGCUCUGAGGGGAGGUAAGUUAUAAUGAAGCAAAUAAGGAUGCUCAAUACUUUGCAGAAUUGAGUGCUGGGCUCCAGUCCUGUCCCCAGCAAACAUUUUAAUGGCAGCAGGAUUGAGCUGUGGAGUGGAGAACUAAGGUAAUUUUCAUUAGUUAAAUGCUAAUUACCCUGACAGUACACAUAGCAUGUAACAAGGCUGGGAGGAGUCAGGCUUAUCACUGAAUAGCAGCCAUCAAUGCAGUCUGGCUUGAGGGAGAGAAACAAACUGUGCAUGUAACCUCCAGGUGAUGCUCUGCCUCCUGCAAUAAACCUCUCCUGAUCGGCCCUCAGAAGAGCAGUUCCAACUCACUUGCCCUUUGGGAUGCUUGCAUCAGAGCCUUGGGUUAACAUAAAGGGCUGGUAAUAAAGUAAAUAAGAUGAGCUACUUCCCACAGAGGACUGAGUCACAAAGAAAAACGAAAACAAAAAGAAAAGCUAUAAAAUCAGAGGUUCUUGUUUUGUUGUUUGUUUUGUUUUGUUUUGUUCCUGUUUUGUGUCAUUUUUGAGGAGAAAAUAGAAAAUAAAGCAGGAUGAGGGAAGCAAAGACAUUUCCUGUCACGAAUGCUUGAAUGCUGUGCACAUGAUCUCAUUGGUAAUGGGUCAAUGCCACCUGGUGUGCCUUGGGCAAGAUGACUGUGAUAUAUAAAAUACUUUUAGUGGCUGUUGACAUUGCAGAAAGCUUUUAUUUCCCUCUGUCCCUCUGUCUUUUUUUUUUUUUUUUUAACUGCAUCUGUGUCUCCAUCUUAAGCCUAUAAACUUCAUAACAAUCGGUUGAACUAGUGAUUGCAUAUUACACCAUUUACCACACAUAGACAAUCAACAUUUGUCACACUGUUAAUAAAAUUAGGUGAAAAUUUAAGCACAAAUAAGGACAUUGGUGACACAUUGCUGUCAGAGACUGGUUCCAGUGAAUCCUCUGGGGCUCAGAGCCAUCAGUUCAUACUCAAGCCACCCAAAAUCAACAGAAAGGUUCCCUUCUGCACCAGGGAGGAUAUAGUAAGUGGCAUAACAAAAAAGAGGUUGUAUUUGCUUUCAUUAUCUCAUUCAUCAAGCAUUUUGGAAAAAAAAAAUAAAAAAAAUAAAAUAAAAAAA